RNAcentral lists this transfer RNA (73 nucleotides) under Ictidomys tridecemlineatus (thirteen-lined ground squirrel). RNAcentral's name for it is "Spermophilus tridecemlineatus (thirteen-lined ground squirrel) tRNA". It matches the Rfam family "tRNA". From Rfam's summary of the family: Transfer RNA (tRNA) molecules are approximately 80 nucleotides in length. The record is from Rfam by way of RNAcentral. Lineage: Eukaryota; Metazoa; Chordata; Mammalia; Rodentia; Sciuridae.
GGGGCUAUCGCUCAGUUGGUAGGGUGCUUGCCUUAUAUGUACAAGGCCCUGAGUUCAAUCCUCAGCACCACCA